ACUCCUCCAGAAGUCGGGAGCAGUCCAGUCUUAGCACAACUGCCGUAGCACUCUGGGACAGGUGUGCAGGUGUUCCAGCUGCCUGGGAACCUACCCACACAGGUGACAGUGCUCCUGCAGACAGGAUAAUCACAAGUCGCUUAAAGUCCCUCCAGAUAAGAUAUAAACCCCCAUCUUCUGCUCCAGUGCCAUGGCAACUUGCUCCCUGCCAUGCUCCCUCCUAUGACGGGAAUUAAGUCUAAUCCUCUGAAAGUUCACAGGCUGGAGUAGAACAGGCUGAAGAGAGGGUAUUCCCAUCAGAGUGGAGCCUUGUGUUUCAUU
Molecule: long non-coding RNA, 321 nt
Organism: Mastomys coucha (southern multimammate mouse)
Lineage: Eukaryota; Metazoa; Chordata; Mammalia; Rodentia; Muridae
Exons: 4
Source: RefSeq, a predicted model, not a curated record